Molecule: long non-coding RNA, 5458 nt
Filed under: Ananas comosus (pineapple)
Lineage: Eukaryota; Viridiplantae; Streptophyta; Magnoliopsida; Poales; Bromeliaceae
Description: long non-coding RNA (ACOM_LNC008132)
Source: RNAcentral
UUUUUUUCUGAGCCCCACCGCGAAAGAAAGAAAUAAAAAUAAUAUAACCGACGGUCUCUAGAGCAAAUAACAAAUAGUUUGAUGGUUGGUGCCCGAAAUUCAAAUUCAAAUCCUAAUUGAUUCAUAUUUCCAGCUAAAUUUAUUACUAAAUAAAAUAAACAAAACGGGUAGCGUGCUAUCUAUAUUUUAAAAAAAUAAAAUAAAAAUAAUAAAAAAUAAAAUAAAGAGGGUCACUGUAGUAGAUACACCGCACCAAUCGUGUGUUUGGGUCCCACCAAAUUGGCGAAAUGGUUGGUGAAAGUUGUUCGCGUUUGACCGAGUCCGAACUAUGCAUGUAUUAUAUAUUCUAAGCACAAGGGUGGGGGGCAAAUGGGAAUGGGUGCGAUCCCUCCAUUGACAAAUGAGUUCACCUACUUUUAUUUCGCUGUGUGCGUGGUGGGGCCCUUACGAUGGGGGUUGGUUGAACUACUAUUAUUAAAAAACAAAAAAAAAGAAGUUGGUGCCUAUUCCAUUUCCCCCCGGUCCUUUUUUUUUUUUUNGUUCCGGGUCGCCGAGGAGGACAACGAGCGCUUUCUCAAGAAGCUGCGGCAUCGGAUCGAUCGGUGAGUUUCAUAAUCAUUACUAUUAUUAUUAUUAGUAUUACUAUUUGUUGAUUUCAUCGGAUGGGAAUUAUUUUGGUUAUUGAUGAGUGUUUUGAUCUCGAAAAGCGCUUUUGCUUUUACCUUUGCAUGAAUGAACAAUAUCCUUCCAAAUCGGUAGUGUUUACGAGUAUCUCGGAAUAAUAUUUAUGAGAUGCUGGUGUAAUAAUAUAUUAUACUAAUACUAAUAAGUUAAUAUAAUAUAAUACAGAAAAAUCUCAUAUAAAAAAAAUUAUUGGUAAAAUUAAAGACUAUACAAAAAUUUGUUGGAAAUGAAGAAACUCUAGAUUGUUGGGUUUGGUAAUGAAUGAGAAAUACUAGAGAUAAAAACUAUAUGACUUGCAUGGAAGCUGCUGCUCAUUUGGCCGAAUUUUCUUGUCACGUCAUAAAUAAUUUUUUUAUUUUUUUAUGGAUUCAUUAUUGUUAUAUGCUGGAUCGUUUUAUUUAAUGAUGUAAAAAACAUGCAUAAUAAAACAUUUAUUUUUCAACCCUGGGGCUGGGGAUUCUUACAAUAACAAUAAAACAAAUUUGUUUUUCUUAUAUUUGUGGGAUCUAGCCGUAUGUGGUGACCAACUAAUAAUUGAAUUUUAAUAUAUUUUUUUAAAAGUUACUUUCUAAUAAUAUCCAAUAUUUUUAUGAAAAAAAUAAAUAAUAAUUAUUUUUUCUGCUAGGUAAUCAUUAAAAAACAAAAGUUUUCCUGGGCGGCUGCGGCCUUUCUUAACUUCCGGUAGUUGGUAUAAUGUCGUAAUUUAUUUUUUUUUGUGGGUAAAAAAAAAAAAAACCUCUUUUACUCUUAGAAAAAAAAAAGCCCUUAAAAAUGAGGUUAAAUUAUAGAAAAUUUUUCUGUCAAAAUUUAAUUUUUUAUUUUUUUUUUCAUCAUUUAAAAAUCUACGCUUUGCCCCAUUGUAAAAUAAAAAAUGCUUACUCACCUCCUACCGUUAGUGAUCCGUCAGGAUUUCGUUUAUAAAAUAUUAUUAUUAUUUUUUUAUACAAAAAAUGCCCUUAGUCUUCUCUUUUGUUGUCAGAAAUGGUGAGAAACAAAAUAGUUAUUUAGCCUAUUUUUAUACCAUACCUCUUGUCACCAAUUUUUAUUUUAUAAAGGUGUAAAGUGUAAGUUUUUAAAUAACAGAAGGGAAAAUAAAAAAUUGAAUUUUAACAUUUGGUUUUAUGUAAUUUAGCCUAAAAAUUACUAAUGUUUUGGUUGGAUGGUUCAAUUCAUCCUGGCAUCUUUUAAGUGUUAAGAAACGUCCCACUCAGUUGCUAAAUAUAUUUAUUUAAAGCACACCUUGAACAACCCCAUAAGUUUGUACAUAAACUCGUCGCAUGCACACUUAAUUGUGUCGUAAGCUUGGGUUAAGGGUGGGUUGUUGGCUUGCUUCAAGAUGUCGUCCACCGUCCUAUUAUCUACACGAGAAAAAGUAUUACCAAGCUGAGCUAUUCCUAACUUUUCAAUUGAUUAUUGCUUACUUAGCAACAACAUGCAUACUUUUCUAUUUUGGUGAGAGUGUAUGGACACCCCUUUAGCUUUUGAUUAUUUUUUUUUUAAAUAAGUGAUUUUUGGUCGAUAACUGGUUUUUUCUCAAUUCUAAUACUAUUUUAUAAAAUUUAACAGUUUAAUUUUAUUUUUUAGCAAAUAAAAUUAUAGGUUUAACUAAUAGAGAAGUUGAAUUUAAUAACUUUUUAAAUUUAACUAGCUAAUGUAAUUUAAAUGGAAAAAGAUUAAAAUUUAAGAGAGGAUUAAUUAAGUAAAUGAAGCUGAACGAUCUAUUUCAAAAACUCCUAUAUUUGAAGGAUUCUCAAUAUAUAUAUAUUUUUUUUGAGAAAAAAAAAGUAUGAUAUCUGCUACAUUCAUUAAAAGUAUGAAUUAAGCAACAAUGGUGAGGUAAUUAACCUCUGUCAAAACGAAAAUAAACAAAAAAGUGACAGAGUCAGGUUUCAACUUUCGGCUUUAUAGUUCAAAAUAACAAUUUUCUGAUUGAAAUGAAAUAAGAUUUGAAAAAAAAAUGUCGGAUAGAAAAAUCCGCUCUGAUACCAUAUGAAAGUUGAAAUAAAAUUUGCUUUCAAAGAAGCCCUUAAAAAAGAAAAAGAAAAAGAUGAUGGUUAGACUAGAGAAAUUUCUCCCGCCGAAACACUGAUCGCUUGAUCUUGUCAAUAUUAUUCUUAGUAUAUUGUUAAUCUUUCAUGUUCUUCAAUAUAGACUAGGUUUACCCACUGUCUCUAGAGUAAGGGGCAAAGGACUUGUGGUUGAUAUUCGAGAUUUCAAGUUCGAAUCAUAAUUGAUUUAUAUUUUCAGUUAAAUUUAUUUCUAAAUGAAAUAAAUGAAACGGAUAACGUGUUUCCUAUCUCUCUCUCUCUCUCCCAAACAAAAAAACAAAUAAUAGUAGACUAGGCUUAUUUGUGUUGACCGUAGAAAACACAACUUGACACUUUUUUAUACUGCAGGGUUGGUAUACAACUCCCAACUGUGGAGGUGAGGUUCGAGCAUCUAACAAUAGAAGCCAAGUGCCACGUCGGCAACAGGGCUCUGCCCACGCUGCUCAACACGGCUCGCAACAUUGCCGAGUCAGCGGUUGGCCUCUUGGGCAUAAGGCUCACGAAGAUGACCACUCUUACCAUACUCAAAGAUGUCUCCGGAAUCGUACGACCCUCUAGGUACGACGUUUAUAAUAAUAAUCAAACUUAAAAAGCAUGGUUGAUCCUCAAAACCCUUGAUAAUUUACAAUUUCGUUGGCAAUUUGAUUUCAUCCUAAACUCACGUAAUUUCUCGCAAUGCCGCCAUUUCCCGCCACCAUUUCUAAUAGAGGUGCAUCAUAUACAAUUGUUUUUCCUUAUAAAUAAAAAUUCAAUUUGCAAUUUAUAAAAGUUUGAGAAUUAUCGUGUAUUCUGUUGUAAGAUGUUUUAUAUAUAUAUACACAUUUUGUGUAUGAUGUAUUCUUUUUGGUUGGUUGUAUUAUUAGGAUGACAUUGUUGCUGGGCCCUCCGUCAUCGGGGAAGACCACUCUUUUACUAGCCUUAGCUGGGAAGCUGGACCCAACACUGAAGGUUUAGUUGACUCGCUCUGAUUAGAUUUAUUUAAAGUAAUUGGACAUACACAGUUGGAGCGCAAAGAGCGUGAACUGUGUGAAGUGUGAACCACUCCUUUUCCUUUUUUGAAAAUUUUAUGUUAUUUUAUUUUAUUUUUUUAAAAUAAAAUGUUUACUAUUAGGCACGGGGAGAGAUAACGUACAACGGGUACGCACUCGACGAGUUCGUGCCCCAGAAAACGGCGGCCUACAUUAGCCAAACUGACGUCCACAUGGCCGAGAUGACCGUUAAAGAAACCCUCGAUUUCUCCGCUCGGUGCCAGGGCGUGGGAUCCAAAUACGGUAAUUAAUUUUUCACAAUUCUAAUGUUCAAAAUUUAAUUAAUUAGUUUCACUAAUUUUAACCGAUUAAUUUCGGUGUAGACCUUCUAACGGAGUUAGCCAGGAGGGAGAAAGAGGCUGGGAUUCUUCCAGAACCUGAAGUCGAUCUCUUUAUGAAGGUAAAAUAUGCUGCGGACUAAAUUAAUGACUAAUGCGAGCUUAAUUAGGCCUAAUUUUAAAUCUAAAAAUGUUGUUCGGGAAAGUGCUAAGCAGUUGUUUUUUUUUCUUUUUUUUUUCUGAAUUUCUUCAAUAAUCUCCUAUAGAUACGAAUUUAAAUUUGUAUUAAAUAUAUUAUUUUCUAUUUUGGAAUUGCAAAGCUCUUUUUAACUUUUAUGCACUGUCAACAAAAAGUUUAGUCUAUUCUCCUGUACUCUCUCUUUUUGGAUAAAGAGAAUGAGAGAAAAGAGAUGCUAUUUGAAUAUCCUAUUUACAUGUUUAAAAAUUUAAUUGAUCAUUCGUAGGGCAAAUGAUAAAAAACUUGAUGGUUGAUAUCUGAGGUGUCAAAUUCGAACCUAAUUGAUUCACAUUUUUAGCUAAUUUUAUUUUUAAAUAAAAUAAACGAAGUGAAUAUCACGUUAUUUAUCUCUUUUAAAAAAAAAUUGAUAAGGCUGUAUAAGCAUAUUCGCUCUUAGAUGAAUAGGAUGUAAAAAUUUGCACAUAUUUUGUAAAUGUACAACUAGCAUUGCUCCUUCAAAGUAAAAAUGAAGGAGUGUUUAUCAUUUCUUUUUUUUUUUAAAGUAUUUCAUCCGAACAAAGAAUAAGUCAAGAAAGUAGGCCAUUUGUACACUAGCAUACUACCUCGUAUCUACUUUGUAAGUCACAUUUGUAACGUUUCUUAAUACAAAACAGGCUACUUCGAUGGAAGGGGUCAAAAGCAGUCUCCAAACGGACUACACGCUCAGGGUACGUUUCCUUUCUUUCUUCUUAUUUUAUUUUUUUCUGAGCUCUCGAAAGAAAAAAUAAAAAUAAUAUAACCGACAGUCACUAGAGCAAAUGACAAAUGAUUUGAUAGUUGGUACCCGAAAUUCAAAUUCAAAUCCUAAUUAAUUCACAUUUCCAGCUAAGUUUAUUACUAAAUAAAAUAAACAAAACGAUUAGCGUGCUAUCUAUAUCUUAAAAAAAUAAAAUAAAAAUAAUAAAAAAUAAAAUAAAGAGGGUCACUGUAGUAGAUACACCGCACCAAUCGUGUGUUUGGGUCCCACCAAAUUGGCGAAAUGGUUGGUGGAAGUUGUUCGCGUUUGACCGAGUCCGAACUACGCAUGUAUUAUAUAUUCUAAGCACAAGGGUGGGGGGCAAAUGGGAAUGGGUGCGAUCCCUCCAUUGACAAAUGAGUUCACCUACUUUUAUUUCGCUGUGUGCGUGGUGGGGCCCUUGCGAUGGGGGUUGGUUGAACUACUAUUAUUAAAAAACAAAAAAA